UAUAUGCUUUCUUUGUUCACAACAAAUGAUAUUCUCUCUAUACAGGACUUGUUCAGUCCCGAACAUCUGGGUUCUGUUCUCAGGCAAAACAUACCUGCUUUAGAUGUCACCUGACGCUUUGUCGGAGAGAUGAGAGACAUUUCCCUGCCGAUCCGUGUUUGGUCUUUGUUAUUCUGUCACUACACCUUUUCUGCAUUAUGGAUGAGGCACAAGCCGAACAACAAGCUCUCCCUUUGUUCUGCCUGAUGCUCCUGUUACAUCAUAGGAAAAGCCCCAUGGUCCUGUGACUGCGCCGUCACACAGCGCUGCUGGCUCCAGCCAAGAAGAAGCUGUCUGCGACUUCAAGAGGGCAGAACUCCACGUCGGUGUGUAGGGGUGCACCUCAGGCUGGUGAAGGCUGCAGAGGGAAACAAAGCCAGAAAACACUAAAACUGAGACAGAGACACUUAGAGAGAAAAAGUGACUUUAUGGGUUAUAUUUUGGCAUGAUGGACAGUAGAAGAGUCACUGUGUCCAGUUGUGGUU
Amphiprion ocellaris (clown anemonefish) is the source of this 524-nucleotide long non-coding RNA. RefSeq lists it as uncharacterized. Lineage: Eukaryota; Metazoa; Chordata; Actinopteri; Pomacentridae. The record is from RefSeq and is a predicted model, not a curated record. The transcript has 4 exons.